AACGAGCUGCAAGUCGGUGACGGCAAGCAAAUCUCUUAAAGCCAGUCUCAGUUCGGAUUGUAGGCUGCAACUCGCCUACAUGAAGUCGGAAUCGCUAGUAAUCGCGGAUCAGCACGCCGCGGUGAAUACGUUCCCGGGCCUUGUACACACCGCCCGUCACACCACGAGAGUUUGUAACACCCGAAGUCGGUGAGGUAACCUAUUAGGAGCCAGCCGCCUAAGGUGGGAUAGAUGAUUGGGGUGAAGUCGUAACAAGGUAAC
RNAcentral lists this ribosomal RNA (261 nucleotides) under uncultured bacterium. RNAcentral's name for it is "partial 16S ribosomal RNA". It matches the Rfam family "Bacterial small subunit ribosomal RNA", at positions 1241 to 1500 of the family's 1533-position model. The record is from RNAcentral.